RNAcentral lists this ribosomal RNA (482 nucleotides) under uncultured bacterium. RNAcentral's name for it is "partial 16S ribosomal RNA". It matches the Rfam family "Bacterial small subunit ribosomal RNA", at positions 28 to 523 of the family's 1533-position model. The record is from RNAcentral.
GAUGAACGUUGGCGGCGUGGAUUAGGCAUGCAAGUCGAGCGCGAACCGUAGCAAUACGGGGAGAGCGGCGAAAGGGAGAGGAAUACGUGGAUACCUACCCUCAGGUUCAGGAUAGCUAUGGGAAACUAUAGGUAAUACUGAAUAAUAUCUCCGGAUCAAAGGUGUGAUUCCACCUGAGGAGGGGUCCGCGUCCUAUUAGCUAGUUGGUGGGGUAACGGCUCACCAAGGCGAAGAUGGGUAUGGGAUGUGAGAGCAUGAUCCCACUCACUGGGAAUGAGACACUGCCCAGACACCUACGGGUGGCUGCAGUCGAGAAUCUUCGGCAAUGGGGGAAACCCUGACCGAGCGACGCCGCGUGCGAGAUGAAGGCCUUCGGGUUGUAAAUCGCUGUCAGAGGGGAGGAAAUGCUAGGGAGUUACCUUCCUAGUUUGACCUAGCCUCAGAGGAAGGACGGGCUAAGUUCGUGCCAGCCGCCGCAGUAA